UACGUAGGGUGCGAGCGUUGUCCGGAAUUACUGGGCGUAAAGAGCUCGUAGGUGGUUUGUCGCGUUGUUCGUGAAAUCCCGCAGCUUAACUGCGGGCGUGCGGGCGAUACGGGCAGACUGGAGUACUGCAGGGGAGACUGGAAUUCCUGGUGUAGCGGUGGAAUGCGCAGAUAUCAGGAGGAACACCGGUGGCGAAGGCGGGUCUCUGGGCAGUAACUGACGCUGAGGAGCGAAAGCGUGGGGAGCGAACAGG
This 253-nucleotide ribosomal RNA is filed under the name uncultured bacterium. RNAcentral's name for it is "partial 16S ribosomal RNA". It matches the Rfam family "Bacterial small subunit ribosomal RNA", at positions 524 to 776 of the family's 1533-position model. The record is from RNAcentral.